GAUGAACGCUAGCGGCAGGCCUAAUACAUGCAAGUCGAGGGGUAUGGGUUGCUUGCAACCCAGAGACCGGCGCACGGGUGCGUAACGCGUAUGCAAUCUACCUUAAUCAGGGGGAUAGCCCGGAGAAAUCCGGAUUAACACCGCAUAACAUUGAGUUGUGGCAUCACAGUUCAAUCAAAUAUUUAUAGGAUUAAGAUGAGCAUGCGUGACAUUAGUUGGUUGGUGAGGUAACGGCUCACCAAGACCACGAUGUCUAGGGGAUCUGAGAGGAUGACCCCCCACACUGGUACUGAGACACGGACCAGACUCCUACGGGAGGCAGCAGUAAGGAAUAUUGAUCAAUGGGCGCAAGCCUGAACCAGCCAUGCCGCGUGCAGGAAGACGGCCCUAUGGGUUGUAAACUGCUUUUGUACCGGAAUAAACCUUCUCUUGCGAGAGAAGCUGAACGUACGGUAAGAAUAAGGAUCGGCUAACUCCGUG
RNAcentral lists this ribosomal RNA (480 nucleotides) under uncultured bacterium. RNAcentral's name for it is "partial 16S ribosomal RNA". It matches the Rfam family "Bacterial small subunit ribosomal RNA", at positions 28 to 507 of the family's 1533-position model. The record is from RNAcentral.